UACGAAGGGUGCAAGCGUUGUUCGGAAUUAUUGGGCGUAAAGGGUUCGUAGGCGGGAUUGUAAGUCAAGUGUGAAAUCCCCGAGCUUAACUCGGGACGUGCAUUUGAAACUGUGAUUCUUGAGUCAUUGAGAGGGUGGUGGAAUUGUUGGUGUAGGAGUGACAUCCGUAGAGAUCAACAGGAACAUCAGAGGCGAAAGCGGCCACCUGGCAAUGUACUGACGCUGAGGAACGAAAGCGUGGGGAGCAAACAGG
This 253-nucleotide ribosomal RNA is filed under the name uncultured bacterium. RNAcentral's name for it is "partial 16S ribosomal RNA". It matches the Rfam family "Bacterial small subunit ribosomal RNA", at positions 524 to 776 of the family's 1533-position model. The record is from RNAcentral.